RNAcentral lists this ribosomal RNA (486 nucleotides) under uncultured bacterium. RNAcentral describes it as "partial 16S ribosomal RNA". It matches the Rfam family "Bacterial small subunit ribosomal RNA", at positions 899 to 1397 of the family's 1533-position model. The record is from RNAcentral.
ACUCAAAUGAAUAGACGGGGGCCCGCACAAGCAGCGGAGCGUGUGGUUUAAUUCGAGGCUACCCGAAGAACCUUACCUGGGUUUGACAUCACCGUGGUAGCGAGACGAAAGUGGAGCGACCUUCGGGAGCGGUGACAGGUGCUGCAUGGCUGUCGUCAGCUCGUGUCGUGAGAUGUACGGUUAAGUCCGCAAACGAGCGCAACCCCCGGCAGUAGUUACACGGUUGUCUACUGCGACUGCCCGUGAGAAACGGGAGGAAGGUGGGGAUGACGUCAAGUCAGCAUGGCCUUGAUAUCCAGGGCGACACACACGCUACAAUGGACGGUACAGCCGGGAGCGAAGGCGCGAGCCGGAGCCAAUCCGCCAAAGCCGUUCGUAGUUCGGAUUGCAGGCUGCAACCCGCCUGCAUGAAGUUGGAGUUGCUAGUAACCGCCGGUCAGCCAAACGGCGGUGAAUACGUUCCCGGGCCUUGUACACACCGCCCGU